UACGGGGGGGGCAAGCGUUGUUCGGAAUUACUGGGCGUAAAGGGCUCGUAGGUGGCCAACUAAGUCAGAACGUGAAAUCCCUCAGCUUAACUGGGGAACUGCGUCUGAUACUGGAUGGCUUGAGUUUGGGAGAGGGAUGCGGAAUUCCAGGUGUAGCGGUGAAAUGCGUAGAUAUCUGGAGGAACACCGGUGGCGAAGGCGGCAUCCUGGACCAACACUGACACUGAGGAGCGAAAGCCAGGGGAGCAAACGGG
RNAcentral lists this ribosomal RNA (254 nucleotides) under uncultured bacterium. RNAcentral's name for it is "partial 16S ribosomal RNA". It matches the Rfam family "Bacterial small subunit ribosomal RNA", at positions 524 to 776 of the family's 1533-position model. The record is from RNAcentral.